Molecule: long non-coding RNA, 246 nt
Filed under: Panax ginseng (ginseng)
Lineage: Eukaryota; Viridiplantae; Streptophyta; Magnoliopsida; Apiales; Araliaceae
Description: long non-coding RNA (PGIN_LNC009479)
Source: RNAcentral
ACAAUGUGUGAGAGUUUUGAGUACACAGAUGUAAUUGGGUUAUAUUAUAGAAUGCCUGAUACUAUAUUCUGUGGGCAUUUUUCAAAUCUUAAAGAUGAUGAUGACCUAAAUAUGAUGUUAGAUGCUGUUAUAGAUUAUAAAUAUAUUGAGAUUUAUCAUGAGCAUGAUUGUGAAGGGGGUAAACAGGCUAAACAACCUACACAAACUGAACAUGCUAGUGAUAGGAAAAAACAGGCUAAGAAGGUG